GGGACCGGCGCGGCGGAGACUAUCGAACCUUGUCAGGUCCGAGAGGAAGCAGCAAUAAGGUAGUUCUUCCGGGCGCCGCCGGC
RNAcentral lists this signal recognition particle RNA (83 nucleotides) under uncultured Flexilinea sp. RNAcentral's name for it is "Bacterial small signal recognition particle RNA". It matches the Rfam family "Bacterial small signal recognition particle RNA". Rfam says of the family: The signal recognition particle (SRP) is a universally conserved ribonucleoprotein involved in the co-translational targeting of proteins to membranes. Archaeal SRP consists of a 7S RNA and homologues of the eukaryotic SRP19 and SRP54 proteins. The record is from RNAcentral. Lineage: Bacteria; Bacillati; Chloroflexota; Anaerolineae; Anaerolineales; Anaerolineaceae.